Molecule: long non-coding RNA, 921 nt
Organism: Sitophilus oryzae (rice weevil)
Lineage: Eukaryota; Metazoa; Arthropoda; Insecta; Coleoptera; Curculionidae
Exons: 2
Source: RefSeq, a predicted model, not a curated record
ACUGAUUUUAUUUUAAGGUUUCUGAUUCAACAGGUUAUACUUAAAGGUCCCUGCGUGGCAGGCAUACACUAAUUUUAUUUUAAGGUUUUUGAUUUAACAGAUUAUACUUAAAGGUCCCUGCGUGGCAGGCAUACAAUGAUUUUAUUUUAAGGUUUCUGAUUCAACAGGUUAUACUUAAAGGUCCCUGCGUGGCAGGCAUACACUGAUUUUAUUUUAAGGUUUUUGAUUUAACAGGUUAUACUUAAAGGUCCCUGCGUGGCAGGCAUACACUGAUUUUAUUUUAAAGUUUCUGAUUCAACAGGUUAUACUUAAAGGUUCCUGCGUGGCAGGCAUGUACAAGGUCCCAAACCUCUGGUUUAGGCAUAGUUUUACGAACAUAAACUUAGGUUAUGUAAAACGUCAAGAAUUUAUAUUGUGGCUAAGUUACUUUUAUUUUGGAAAGUUGGAUCCUUAAACUAGUUUUGUUUAGCCUUAACCCUCAGAGGUUAAUAUGGCAAGCCUUGAAAUUUUUGUUUUGCUUUGAUGUUGUAAAAGUAACUGCCAGUAAAAUCAGUUAAGGAAAUUUUGUCUUCAAGAUUAAUUCAGAUUAAUUCUGAUUUGUUCCCCGAAUAUAUUUUGAACAGUAAGUGUUCUGAAAUAUUUACAGAUUACCGCUGUCAAAGUUUACACGCUGUCAUGUGUUCAGACUGCAAACGGUGCGAGGACACCCCGACGCCAGGAAGGCCGUGAUAGCUGGCUUCUCUAAAUUACGUCAGCUUACGACACCUGAUCUCCGAGACCGCCGCAGCGUGGCCCUUCUUCGAAAAACAAAGCUGGAGCAAUAUUGCGAAUGUUGCAUCAUUCUUAUAAGUUUAGUGAGUUUUAGAUCGACUUUCGAACUGUUCACGUAUUUCUAAGCGGAAUAAAACGUAUUUUGAGGAA